CCCUUAGAUGUCCGGGGCCGCACGCGCGCUACACUGACGAAGGCAACGAGCUUUCCUUUACCGAAAGGUACGGGUAAUCUUUUGAAACUUCGUCGUGCUGGGGAUAGAUCCUUGCAAUUAUUGAUCUUAAACGAGGAAUUCCUAGUAAGCGCAAGUCAUCAACUUGCGUUGAUUACGUCCCUGCCCUUUGUACACACCGCCCGUCGCUACUACCGAUUGAAUGGUUUAGUGAGGCCUUCGGAUCCGCGACUCGUUUUGUGGAGAAGUUGGACAAACUCAGUCAUUUAGAGGAAGUAAAAGUCGUAACA
This 308-nucleotide ribosomal RNA is filed under the name uncultured eukaryote. RNAcentral's name for it is "partial 18S ribosomal RNA". It matches the Rfam family "Eukaryotic small subunit ribosomal RNA", at positions 1470 to 1796 of the family's 1831-position model. The record is from RNAcentral.